This 21-nucleotide ribosomal RNA is filed under the name Acaulium album. Its description in RNAcentral is "partial 28S ribosomal RNA". The record is from RNAcentral. Lineage: Eukaryota; Fungi; Ascomycota; Sordariomycetes; Microascales; Microascaceae.
UAGUUUGACCUCGGAUCAGGU